Non-coding RNA from Pelobates cultripes (western spadefoot toad), 209 nucleotides. Lineage: Eukaryota; Metazoa; Chordata; Amphibia; Anura; Pelobatidae. The record is from the annotation of a GenBank genome assembly.
UCCAGCCUCUGCAUGCAGACACUGAACUUUCUCCAUAGAGAUGCAUUAAUUCAAUUCAUUUCUGUGAGGCUGUUUGGCUUGCUCUGCCUCUGCCCCUGAUCUCCUUCCUUGACAGUCUCAGCCAAUUCAAUGGAAAAGCAUUGUUAUUGGCUCAUAAAAUCACUUCUGAUAUCAGCCAAGCAGGCAGAUUAGAGGCAGCAGCUGCAGAC